UCUUUGGCUCCUAGACUGGUUAGAGUGUGACAUAAUUCAUUGGAUUUAUUAAUUCGUAGGCUAGACAAUUCUUUCGGUGAACACCUAUAGAUGCCAUCUAUUGAUUUUGUCAGCUGAUUGACUUUAAUUUUGUUUUUCUUUUCGACACCUAUGUAUUUGCACUUCUAUUUUUGUGAUGGGUUAUAUAGUAAUGUUCAUUAUAUGAGAUUAAGC
Molecule: long non-coding RNA, 213 nt
Filed under: Phoenix dactylifera (date palm)
Lineage: Eukaryota; Viridiplantae; Streptophyta; Magnoliopsida; Arecales; Arecaceae
Description: long non-coding RNA (PDAC_LNC023007)
Source: RNAcentral